RNAcentral lists this unclassified non-coding RNA (217 nucleotides) under Hevea brasiliensis (rubber tree). The record is from RNAcentral. Lineage: Eukaryota; Viridiplantae; Streptophyta; Magnoliopsida; Malpighiales; Euphorbiaceae.
AUUUCAACAUGGUCCCAGUCAAUUGAUCUGUCUUCAAAGCUCUCUGAUUGGUGAAGUCUGUUUCGACCCAAUCUGCUCAUCAUGGCAAGACCUUCUACCAUCUUGUAAAGAGCUGACCACCAGCCAUCUCUGGAAAUUUGGUAUUCAUUUAGUGAUUCACUAAUUCCUUUGUCAUGCUUCCCUUCCAACACUCCCUGCAAAGUUAUCACUGCAUCCU